RNAcentral lists this ribosomal RNA (275 nucleotides) under uncultured bacterium. Its description in RNAcentral is "partial 16S ribosomal RNA". It matches the Rfam family "Bacterial small subunit ribosomal RNA", at positions 1227 to 1500 of the family's 1533-position model. The record is from RNAcentral.
ACAAUGGCGUAAACAGAGGGAAGCGAGCCCGCGAGGGGGAGCGAAUCCCAAAAAACAACGUCCCAGUUCGGAUUGUAGUCUGCAACCCGACUACAUGAAGCCGGAAUCGCUAGUAAUCGCGGAUCAGAAUGCCGCGGUGAAUACGUUCCCGGGUCUUGUACACACCGCCCGUCACACCAUGGGAGUCGGAAAUGCCCGAAGCCAGUGACCCAACCUUAGGGAGGGAGCUGUCGAAGGUGGAGCCGGUAACUGGGGUGAAGUCGUAACAAGGUAGC